UCCUACGGGAGGCAGCAGUGGGGAAUAUUGCACAAUGGGCGCAAGCCUGAUGCAGCCAUGCCGCGUGUGUGAAGAAGGCCUUCGGGUUGUAAAGCACUUUCAGUCGUGAGGAAGGUGGUAGUGUUAAUAGCACUAUCAUUUGACGUUAGCGACAGAAGAAGCACCGGCUAACUCCGUGCCAGCAGCCGCGGUAAUACGGAGGGUGCGAGCGUUAAUCGGAAUUACUGGGCGUAAAGCGCAUGCAGGUGGUUUGUUAAGUCAGAUGUGAAAGCCCGGGGCUCAACCUCGGAAUAGCAUUUGAAACUGGCAGACUAGAGUACUGUAGAGGGGGGUAGAAUUUCAGGUGUAGCGGUGAAAUGCGUAGAGAUCUGAAGGAAUACCGGUGGCGAAGGCGGCCCCCUGGACAGAUACUGACACUCAGAUGCGAAAGCGUGGGGAGCAAACAGGAUUAGAUACCCUGGUAGUCCACGCCGUAAACGAUGUCUACUUGGAGGUUGUGGCCUUGAGCCGUGGCUUUCGGAGCUAACGCGUUAAGUAGACCGCCUGGGGAGUACGGUCGCAAGAUUAAAACUCAAAUGAAUUGACGG
Molecule: ribosomal RNA, 587 nt
Filed under: uncultured bacterium
Lineage: Bacteria
Description: bacterial SSU rRNA
Rfam family: Bacterial small subunit ribosomal RNA
Source: RNAcentral